RNAcentral lists this ribosomal RNA (292 nucleotides) under uncultured bacterium. RNAcentral describes it as "partial 16S ribosomal RNA". It matches the Rfam family "Bacterial small subunit ribosomal RNA", at positions 29 to 334 of the family's 1533-position model. The record is from RNAcentral.
UACGAACGCUGGCGGCAGGCCUAACACAUGCAAGUCGAACGAGAAGCCAGAGCUUGCUCUGGUGGAUAGUGGCGCACGGGUGAGUAACGCGUGGGAACCUGCCCUGGGGUGGGGAACAACCGCUGGAAACGGCGGCUAAUACCACAUACGUCCUACGGGAGAAAGACUUCGGUCGCCCCUGGAUGGUCCCGCGUCUGAUUAGCUUGUUGGUGAGGUAACGGCUCACCAAGGCGACGAUCAGUAGCUGGUCUGAGAGGAUGAUCAGCCACACUGGAACUGAGACACGGUCCAG